This 555-nucleotide ribosomal RNA is filed under the name human gut metagenome. Its description in RNAcentral is "bacterial SSU rRNA". It matches the Rfam family "Bacterial small subunit ribosomal RNA", at positions 977 to 1533 of the family's 1533-position model. The record is from RNAcentral.
GGGCUUGACAUAUAGAUGAAUAACUAAGAGAUUAGUUAGUCCUUCGGGACAUCUAUACAGGUGGUGCAUGGUUGUCGUCAGCUCGUGUCGUGAGAUGUUAGGUUAAGUCCUGCAACGAGCGCAACCCCUGUGAUUAGUUGCCAACAGGUUAAGCUGGGAACUCUAAUCAGACUGCCGGUGAUAAAUCGGAGGAAGGUGGGGAUGACGUCAAAUCAUCAUGCCCUUUAUGUCCUGGGCUACACACGUACUACAAUGGCUGUAACAGAGAGAAGCAACACCGCGAGGUAGAGCGAAACUCAAAAAGCAGUCUCAGUUCGGAUUGAAGGCUGAAAUUCGCCUUCAUGAAGCCGGAAUUGCUAGUAAUGGCAGGUCAGCAUACUGCCGUGAAUACGUUCCCGGGCCUUGUACACACCGCCCGUCACACCAUGAGAGUUGGGGAUACCCGAAGCCUGUGAGCCAACUUCUACGAGGCAGCAGUCGAAGGUAGAAUCAAUGAUUGGGGUGAAGUCGUAACAAGGUAGCCGUAUCGGAAGGUGCGGCUGGAUCACCUCCUUU